Molecule: ribosomal RNA, 468 nt
Filed under: uncultured bacterium
Lineage: Bacteria
Description: partial 16S ribosomal RNA
Rfam family: Bacterial small subunit ribosomal RNA
Source: RNAcentral
GACGAACGCUGGCGGCGUGCUUAACACAUGCAAGUCGAACGGAAAGGCCCUGCUUUUGUGGGGUGCUCGAGUGGCGAAAGGGUGAGUAACACGUGAGUAACCUGCCCUUGACUUUGGGAUAACUUCAGGAAACUGGGGCUAAUACCGGAUAGGAGCUCCUGCUGCAUGGUGGGGGUUGGACAGUUUCGGCGGUUGGGGAUGGACUCGCGGCUUAUCAGCUUGUUGGUGGGGUAGUGGCUUACCAAGGCUUUGACGGGUAGCCGGCCUGAGAGGGUGACCGGCCACAUUGGGACUGAGAUACGGCCCAGACUCCUACGGGAGGCAGCAGUGGGGAAUAUUGCACAAUGGGCGGAAGCCUGAUGCAGCAACGCCGCGUGCGGGAUGACGGCCUUCGGGUUGUAACCCGCUUUCGCCUGUGACGAAGCGUGAGUGACGGUAAUGGGUAAAGAAGCACCGGCUAACUACGUG